Molecule: ribosomal RNA, 397 nt
Filed under: uncultured bacterium
Lineage: Bacteria
Description: partial 16S ribosomal RNA
Rfam family: Bacterial small subunit ribosomal RNA
Source: RNAcentral
AUACGAAGGGUGCAAGCGUUACUCGGAAUUACUGGGCGUAAAGCGUGCGUAGGUGGUUGUUUAAGUCUGUCGUGAAAGCCCUGGGCUCAACCUGGGGACUGCGAUGGAAACUGGGCGACUAGAGUGUGGUAGAGGGUAGCGGAAUUCCUGGUGUAGCAGUGAAAUGCGUAGAUAUCAGGAGGAACAUCCAUGGCGAAGGCAGCUACCUGGGCCAACACUGACACUGAGGCACGAAAGCGUGGGGAGCAAACAGGAUUAGAUACCCUGGUAGUCCACGCCCUAAACGAUGCGAACUGGAUGUUGGGUGCACUUUGGCACGCAGUAUCGAAGCUAACGCGUUAGGUUCGCCGCCUGGGGAGUACGGUCGCAAGACUGAAACUCAAAGGAAUUGACGGGG